This 478-nucleotide ribosomal RNA is filed under the name uncultured bacterium Seq13(S5). RNAcentral describes it as "bacterial SSU rRNA". It matches the Rfam family "Bacterial small subunit ribosomal RNA", at positions 384 to 876 of the family's 1533-position model. The record is from RNAcentral. Lineage: Bacteria; Bacillati; Chloroflexota.
UGACACAGCGACACCGCGUGGGGGAUGAAGGCCUUCGGGUUGUAAACCCCUUUUCUCAGGGAAGAAUAAUGACGGUACCUGAGGAAUAAGCCUCGGCUAACUACGUGCCAGCAGCCGCGGUAAUACGUAGGAGGCGAGCGUUAUCCGGAUUUACUGGGCGUAAAGAGGGCGUAGGCGGUUCUUCAAGUCGGAUGUGAAAUCUCCCGGCUUAACCGGGAGGGGUCAUUCGAUACUGUUGGGCUAGAGGACAGCAGAGGGAGGUGGAAUUCCCGGUGUAGUGGUGAAAUGCGUAGAUAUCGGGAGGAACACCAGUGGCGAAGGCGGCCUCCUGGGCUGUUUCUGACGCUGAGGCCCAAAAGCGUGGGGAGCGAACAGGAUUAGAUACCCUGGUAGUCCACGCCGUAAACUAUGGACACUAGGUAUGGGGAGUAUCGACCCUCUCUCGUGCCGAAGCUAACGCUUUAAGUGUCCCACCUGG